AGUUAGAAACUUACACGAGAUCUAAGACAUGAAGUAAUAUGAUUGGUUGAGAAUGAAUGUGAUUGGAUAAAAAAUUAUUUUAUAGAAACUAUCCAUUGGAACCAUAUCUUCUAUAUAAUGUCUAUAGAAAUUAAUAUGUAUAAAAACUAUAUAUAACUUUUAGCAUUAGGAGUGCACUGGAAUACCAAAGUGUUAUAACUUCCGAGUGGGGGACGGACGGCUACAGAAAAUGUCAACGGGCAGCUAGUCAUAAUACUAUUGGCAAGAGAAGAAAACAGGGGCAUGGUCCCCAAGCGAGAGGCCAGGGGACGCCACUGCCCUCAUGUGGACCACGUAGUUUGAUCUAUUGAUCCGUGAUAUUUCAAGACGCGACGAGAGUUCAAAAAGCUUUGAGAAGAAACAACCAGUUUGGACUUUGGGCCCCCAACCACACUGAUGGAGUCAACAACCCCAAAGAAAAAGAAAAAAAACGCAGAUGAGGUCAAUAUGGGCAUGUUUAAUUCCUCAAGGAAUGUAAAAUAUAAAAUAUCAACUACUUUAGAAUGAUGAAAUAUAAAAUAAUAAAAUUUUUAAAAGUUGUGUUUAGUUUAAUCCAAAAUACAGAAUUCAUUGUUUUUAUUUAGAGGC
Molecule: long non-coding RNA, 627 nt
Filed under: Sorghum bicolor (sorghum)
Lineage: Eukaryota; Viridiplantae; Streptophyta; Magnoliopsida; Poales; Poaceae
Description: long non-coding RNA (SBIC_LNC018688)
Source: RNAcentral